Molecule: non-coding RNA, 45 nt
Filed under: Schistosoma mansoni
Lineage: Eukaryota; Metazoa; Platyhelminthes; Trematoda; Strigeidida; Schistosomatidae
Source: RNAcentral
AUCCAACUGACGAGUCCCGAAUAAGACGAAACGCAUGUCCUGCAU